UAGGGAAUUUUCGUCAAUGGGCGCAAGCCUGAACGAGCAAUGCCGCGUGAGCGAAGAAGGUCUUCGGAUCGUAAAACUCUGUUGCGGGGGAAAAAGGAAGGGAAGAGGAAAUGCUUUUUCUUUUGAUGGUACCCCGCCAGAAAGUCACGGCUAACUACGUGCCAGCAGCCGCGGUAAUACGUAGGUGGCAAGCGUUAUCCGGAAUGAUUGGGCGUAAAGGGUGCGCAGGCUGCGCGUCAAGUCUGAAGUAAAAGGUACAGGCUCAACCUGUGCAGGCUUUGGAAACUGGCGCGCUCGAGGACAGGAGAGGCGGUGGAACUCCAUGUGUAGCGGUAAAAUGCGUAGAUAUAUGGAAGAACACCAGUUGCGAAGGCGGCCGCCUGGACUGUUACUGACGCUGAGGCACGAAAGCGUGGGGAGCAAAUAGGAUUAGAUACC
Molecule: ribosomal RNA, 438 nt
Filed under: uncultured bacterium
Lineage: Bacteria
Description: bacterial SSU rRNA
Rfam family: Bacterial small subunit ribosomal RNA
Source: RNAcentral